CGUGUAGGCGGUUUGUUAAGUCUGAUGUGAAAGCCCUGGGCUCAACCCAGGAAGUGCAUUGGAAACUGGCAGACUUGAAUACGGGAGAGGGCAGUGGAAUUCCUAGUGUAGGAGUGAAAUCCGUAGAUAUUAGGAGGAACACCGGUGGCGAAGGCGGCUGCCUGGACCGAUAUUGACGCUGAGACGCGAAAGCGUGGGUAGCAAACA
Molecule: ribosomal RNA, 207 nt
Filed under: uncultured delta proteobacterium
Lineage: Bacteria; Deltaproteobacteria
Description: partial 16S ribosomal RNA
Rfam family: Bacterial small subunit ribosomal RNA
Source: RNAcentral